AGAUGGUGAGAUAUAACAUUGGUGUUACUCCCUCGUUGCGGGAGUUUGUAGUUGAGGCUUUUGGGAAAGAAGGGCGAAGUGAAGAGAUUGAGAGGCUGUUAGAAGCAAAUAGGCCGGGAUUUGGUGCAUAUUGGCCACCAUCAGGUCCUCCUCGAAUGGCAGGACCCCCUCGAAUGGCAGGGCCUCCUCGAAUGGCUGGACCCCCUCAAAUGGCAGAACCCCCUCGAAUGGCAGGACCUCCUCAAAUGGCAGAACCCCCCCGGAUGGCAGAAUCCUCUAGAAUGGAAGAACCUCCUCAGAUGGCAGGACAGGCAUCAACAUAAUUUUUAGAUCCAUUUGUGGAUUGAAUUUUUGCCCUCCCAUCCUAAUUUUGAUCCGGAG
RNAcentral lists this long non-coding RNA (381 nucleotides) under Vitis vinifera (wine grape). RNAcentral's name for it is "long non-coding RNA (VVIN_LNC003968)". Lineage: Eukaryota; Viridiplantae; Streptophyta; Magnoliopsida; Vitales; Vitaceae. The record is from RNAcentral.